RNAcentral lists this ribosomal RNA (375 nucleotides) under Triticum aestivum (bread wheat). Its description in RNAcentral is "partial small subunit ribosomal RNA". Lineage: Eukaryota; Viridiplantae; Streptophyta; Magnoliopsida; Poales; Poaceae. The record is from RNAcentral.
AUGUCUAGAAAAGAUUCGAUCAUGCUCCAGAGUCGAUAUGCAGCUGCUCGGUUACACGAUAUUGUCAAGGGUCUCCAAACGAGAAGGAAAGAGCUCAUCCGUGAGAAAAAAUGGGGUAAUCUGCUUAAUAUUAGCAACUUCUCAGCUCCAGAGGGUCUCCUAGAAUGGAUCAUUGACAGGAUUGACCCGAAGCUAGGUGAAUUUCGGAAUCCACGAAACAAUACCAGCAUUCUAUUCACUGCAAAAAUGGUUGAAAAGGUUCUCGGACUUCCUGCUGGUACUAGGCCUGUGGUUAUCAUAAGCAAGCAUGAAGAAUCACCUCACCGAGAAUUCUACAAGACGGACUUUCCACAUGGGAGACGGGCGCCCAUUUAA